Molecule: ribosomal RNA, 475 nt
Filed under: uncultured organism
Description: partial 16S ribosomal RNA
Rfam family: Bacterial small subunit ribosomal RNA
Source: RNAcentral
UACACUCCUACGGGAGGCAGCAGUGGGGAAUUUUGGACAAUGGGCGAAAGCCUGAUCCAGCCAUGCCGCGUGCAGGAUGAAGGCCUUCGGGUUGUAAACUGCUUUUGUACGGAACGAAACGGCCUUUUCUAAUAAAGAGGGCUAAUGACGGUACCGUAAGAAUAAGCACCGGCUAACUACGUGCCAGCAGCCGCGGUAAUACGUAGGGUGCAAGCGUUAAUCGGAAUUACUGGGCGUAAAGCGUGCGCAGGCGGUUAUGUAAGACAGUUGUGAAAUCCCCGGGCUCAACCUGGGAACUGCAUCUGUGACUGCAUAGCUAGAGUACGGUAGAGGGGGAUGGAAUUCCGCGUGUAGCAGUGAAAUGCGUAGAUAUGCGGAGGAACACCGAUGGCGAAGGCAAUCCCCUGGACCUGUACUGACGCUCAUGCACGAAAGCGUGGGGAGCAAACAGGAUUAGAUACCCCAGUAGUCCCAU